GCAGAGAGAGUUAUACAGAACGUGAACCACUAGGGACGAAGCGGAUGGAGUUGACGACAUUAACAGUAUUCAGGUGUGUGUGGUCGCCUGGCGGCGUUUGUUCUGCGAUGGCCUAGUCGUGGCGGCGUUGUCUAGUGUGGCUGUGCGCUCUGCAUUUGCUGUUGGUAUGUGCCGAAAGGCCUGUUUGCCUCUUCCGAACCACCACGUGUUGCCCUUCGCCUCGGCGUCGGUGUCUUGCGUGGUGGGGCUGUUGAUGGUGGAUAGGUUGCGCUAUUUGGUGACUGGCUUUCGUGCGUUGUGCGUUGCGGUGUGCGUUGUGUGCGAGCGGUGGCGUGCCACUUGUUCGUAAUGUCGGCGUAUAUCGUAUGCGUGCUGCGCCUCAGUUGCUCUUUCGGUAUGAAAAGUCAGCCACCCAUCCGACCCGUCUUGAAACACGGACCAAGAAGUCUAGCAUGUGCGCGAGUCAUUGGGUGUGAAAACCUAAAGGCGUAAUGAAAGUGAAGGUCGUCUUCGUACGGCUGAUAUGGGAGUCGUGUUCGUGCGCGUUCGCGAUGCACCAUAGCCCCAUCUCGUGAGCUUGCUCUGGGGUGGAGGUAGAGCGUACAUGCUGGGACCCGAAAGAUGGUGAACUAUGCCUGAGCAGGAUGAAGUCAGAGGAAACUCUGAUGGAAGUCCGAAGCGGUUCUGACGUGCAAAUCGAUCGUCUGACUUGGGUAUAGGGGCGAAAGACUAAUCGAACCAUC
This 743-nucleotide ribosomal RNA is filed under the name Parasitodiplogaster sp. RGD580p. Its description in RNAcentral is "eukaryotic LSU rRNA". It matches the Rfam family "Eukaryotic large subunit ribosomal RNA", at positions 378 to 944 of the family's 3401-position model. The record is from RNAcentral. Lineage: Eukaryota; Metazoa; Nematoda; Chromadorea; Rhabditida; Diplogasteridae.